AUGAUGGUGACGAUGAUUCCAAAAACGACAAUUCUGAAAAUCUACAAAAUGGUGAUAUUCAACAGAAAAGCAAAAUGAUGAAUAAAGUACCAAGUUUUUCGGAUCCUCUUUACGAUUCAAGUGAUGACACUAUGGGAAACCCUUCAACAUCAUCUGAAAUGGAUUCACAACGCCAGAGAAGAGGAUUUCGUUUUUCUAGUUUUGAAGGGUUAGAAGAGGCAAGUGAAGAUAGUGAAGACGACUAUGUUCCAGAGACCAGUGGGGAAAGCACAGACAGUGAGGCCAGCUUGGAAUUAUCUCUAGACAACGGGCAAAAGAAAAAAACUAUGUCUACGAUAAGCAAGUUUUGCAUUCAGGAUGAGAGUGUGUCUAGUCAGAGUAGAAGCUUUGAUAAGGAUGAUUCCAAAGUCACUACAAGUGAAGAUGAAAGGGCUCCCUUGGAAGAAGAACCUGUUCAUGUUGUUCCUGUUUCAAAGAAGGAAGAUGGUUCCAGAAGAUAUAACAAGAAACAUCACUGCUUGUAUUGUGGUGUAAUUGUACAAAAAAUGUCAAGACAUUUGCUACGUAAACACAUGGAUAAAGCUGAUGUUGCAAAAGCUUUUAGUUUGGGAAAGAACUCAAAACAAAGACGACUUCAGUUGGAUUAUCUAC
This is a long non-coding RNA of Nematolebias whitei (Rio pearlfish), 651 nucleotides long. RefSeq lists it as uncharacterized. The record is from RefSeq and is a predicted model, not a curated record. The transcript has 3 exons. NCBI's taxonomy places the organism in Eukaryota, Metazoa, Chordata, Actinopteri, Cyprinodontiformes, Rivulidae.